GACCUGAUCCAGCCAUGCCGCGUGUGUGAAGAAGGCCCUCGGGUUGUAAAGCACUUUCAGCGAGGAAGAACGCCUAGCGGUUAAUACCCGCUAGGAAAGACAUCACUCGCAGAAGAAGCACCGGCUAACUCCGUGCCAGCAGCCGCGGUAAUACGGAGGGUGCAAGCGUUAAUCGGAAUUACUGGGCGUAAAGCGCGCGUAGGUGGCUUGAUAAGCCGGUUGUGAAAGCCCCGGGCUCAACCUGGGAACGGCAUCCGGAACUGUCAAGCUAGAGUGCAGGAGAGGAAGGUAGAAUUCCCGGUGUAGCGGUGAAAUGCGUAGAGAUCGGGAGGAAUACCAGUGGCGAAGGCGGCCUUCUGGACUGACACUGACACUGAGGUGCGAAAGCGUGGGUAGCAAACAGGAUUAGAUACCCUGGUAGUCCACGCCGUAAACGAUGUCGACCAGCCGUUGGGUGCCUAGCGCACUUUGUGGCGAAGUUAACGCGAUAAGUCGACCGCCUGGGGAGUACGGCCGCAAGGUUAAAACUCAAAUG
This 535-nucleotide ribosomal RNA is filed under the name Halomonas sp. RNAcentral's name for it is "bacterial SSU rRNA". It matches the Rfam family "Bacterial small subunit ribosomal RNA", at positions 380 to 907 of the family's 1533-position model. The record is from RNAcentral. Lineage: Bacteria; Pseudomonadati; Pseudomonadota; Gammaproteobacteria; Oceanospirillales; Halomonadaceae.